Molecule: long non-coding RNA, 629 nt
Organism: Raphanus sativus (radish)
Lineage: Eukaryota; Viridiplantae; Streptophyta; Magnoliopsida; Brassicales; Brassicaceae
Exons: 3
Source: RefSeq, a predicted model, not a curated record
GUUCUUUUCUUUUUUCACAAUUUUUUUUGUCACAAACAAUCGUAAGGGUUCGAUGGACCCGUUUCUUUCUCAGCCGUCGUGAUAUAGGAUCAGACUCUAGGGUUUCGAUUCAGUUGCUUUAUCUUAUUCCUACCGAUCUAGAAAUUUAACAGUUACAGAUUCAUCUUUUUAAAGUCCUCCUUAAAUCAAUUCUCCACGAUCUACAUUCAAUGCGAAAUUCGAUCUUGCAAAGCGGUGAAAAUUUGAGUAUAAAAGUUUGCGAACAGGUGGCUUUAGUGGACAUGACUAUCCUACCAAGGAUGGUGGUGCGGUAAACACCAGUCUCAUCUCAGAAUCCGGCUUUCCGUUUGUUUUAUAAGAGUAGUGGAACGUCUGCUCCACUACCAAAGAAUGUCUGUGUUAGAAAUGGUUGCUGCUUUUAAAAAAGCUCCUGGCAAGAAAAUACCUAUCAAGCUUUGUCCGAGAAGGCCAGUAGAUGCAACUGCAGUUUAUGCUUCAACAGAGAGAGCUGAUAAAUAAUUAUGUAUCAAUUUUGAUUUCCUUUUACACAUAAUCUCUUUAUAAUAACAUUCUUUUUGAUGCUUCUAACGUUUCUUUGGUUGGUUGGAUGCAACUUUAUUUUUAGCAUU